Molecule: non-coding RNA, 27 nt
Filed under: Bombyx mori (domestic silkworm)
Lineage: Eukaryota; Metazoa; Arthropoda; Insecta; Lepidoptera; Bombycidae
Source: RNAcentral
UAAUACUGCACGGACCGAGGUUGGUAG